Peromyscus maniculatus bairdii (prairie deer mouse) is the source of this 724-nucleotide non-coding RNA. Lineage: Eukaryota; Metazoa; Chordata; Mammalia; Rodentia; Cricetidae. The record is from RefSeq and is a predicted model, not a curated record.
GCAGAGAAACUCAGACCUGGAACAGCAGAGGCCAGAGUAGGCCAUGGGGACUGAGCGCUCAUUCUCAAGAUGUGCAGAGGUUCCAAAGAAAAAGUGGAAAUCAGCGUCUCGGAGAAACGCAUCCCACCUAAAACUCCUGAGAGGACCGUAUGAUUGAUCAGCAAUGUGGAAACAGCAGGGUGGUCCUCACUGGAACUGUGAUACAACUGGUUUGUUUUUUCCCCAGGAUAACUAAGGAUGAUUCUCCUGUUAACUGAAGCUGUGACUCAAGGCAAAUCUUUUCCACUGAAGACUGUUUCUGCAUUAGAAAGUUGCGAAAGUCCCAGAGUUGAAUGACAAAUCUCACCAGUGGUCUGAAGACAUCGGUUCUGUAUGACAUCAACAGGAAGACUAAGAAGGCUUCUUCCACUUUCUCGGUCUCUCAUUGUAUCCGCUGCCUUCACUGCCUGUUUUCACUGGUUGGUUAUCUUCCAAGGAAAUCACCAGAGUGCUGUCAAGCCUGCUGCCUGAGUUCUGUCCCAGUACUAUCAGAUGCUGUGGUGUGCAUCUGUAAUCCCAGGGCUCGUGUGGCGGGAGGCAGAGGCAGCAGAAGCUGUGGAUUCAUCCAGAGCUUGCGGAUCAGCUCCUUGGGACACAGAGCUUGGCAGAUGCAAGAAGAGCUUGCCUCAAGAAAAUGGGAGAGAACUGACUCCCAAAGGUUCUCCUCUGGCCUCUACACAUGUUC